AGGAUUCCCCUAGUAACUGCGAGUGAAGCGGGAAAAGCUCAAAUUUAAAAUCUGUGCGGUCUUUGGCUGUCCGAGUUGUAAUCUAGAGAAGUGUUAUCUGCGCUGGACCGUGUACAAGUCUCCUGGAAUGGAGCGUCAUAGAGGGUGAGAAUCCCGUCUCUGACACGGACUGCCAGGGCUUUGUGAUGCACUCUCAAAGAGUCGAGUUGUUUGGGAAUGCAGCUCAAAAUGGGUGGUAAAUUCCAUCUAAAGCUAAAUAUUGGCGAGAGACCGAUAGCGAACAAGUACCGUGAGGGAAAGAUGAAAAGAACUUUGGAAAGAGAGUUAAACAGUACGUGAAAUUGCUGAAAGGGAAACGCUUGAAGUCAGUCGCGUUGGCUAGGGAUCAACCUUGCUUUUGCUUGGUGUACUUUCUGGUUAACGGGUCAGCAUCAAUUUUGAUCAUUGGAAAAAGGUUAGAGAAAUGUGGCAUCUUUGGAUGUGUUAUAGCCCUUGAUUGUAUACAAUGGUUGGGAUUGAGGAACUCAGC
This 529-nucleotide ribosomal RNA is filed under the name Cortinarius barlowensis. Its description in RNAcentral is "eukaryotic LSU rRNA". It matches the Rfam family "Eukaryotic large subunit ribosomal RNA", at positions 71 to 599 of the family's 3401-position model. Lineage: Eukaryota; Fungi; Basidiomycota; Agaricomycetes; Agaricales; Cortinariaceae. The record is from RNAcentral.